Molecule: ribosomal RNA, 490 nt
Filed under: uncultured bacterium
Lineage: Bacteria
Description: partial 16S ribosomal RNA
Rfam family: Bacterial small subunit ribosomal RNA
Source: RNAcentral
AUUGAACGCUGGCGGCAGGCCUAACACAUGCAAGUCGAACGGUAACAGGAAGCAGCUUGCUGCUUUGCUGACGAGUGGCGGACGGGUGAGUAAUGUCUGGGAAACUGCCCGAUGGAGGGGGAUAACUACUGGAAACGGUAGCUAAUACCGCAUAACGUCGCAAGACCAAAGAGGGGGACCUUAGGGCCUCUUGCCAUCGGAUGUGCCCAGAUGGGAUUAGCUAGUAGGUGGGGUAACGGCUCACCUCGGCGACGAUCCCUAGCCGGUCUGAGAGGAUGACCAGCCACACUAGAACUGAGACACGGUCCAGACUCCUACGGGAGGCAGCAGUGGGGAAUAUUGCACAAUGGGCGCAAGCCUGAUGCAGCCAUGCCGCGUGUAUGAAGAAGGCCUUCGGGUUGUAAAGUACUUUCAGCGGGGAGGAAGGGAGUAAAGUUAAUACCUUUGCUCAUUGACGUUACCCGCAGAAGAAGCACCGGCUAACUCCGUG